This 24-nucleotide non-coding RNA is filed under the name Cricetulus griseus (Chinese hamster). Lineage: Eukaryota; Metazoa; Chordata; Mammalia; Rodentia; Cricetidae. The record is from RNAcentral.
ACAGGAUGAUUCACACGGGCGAGA